AUUGAACGCUGGCGGAAUACUUUACACAUGCAAGUCGAACGGCAGCACGGGGGCAACCCUGGUGGCGAGUGGCGAACGGGUGAGUAAUAUAUCGGAACGUACCUUUCAGUGGGGGAUAACGUAGCGAAAGUUACGCUAAUACCGCAUAUUCUGUGAGCAGGAAAGCAGGGGAUCGCAAGACCUUGCGCUGACUGAGCGGCCGAUAUCAGAUUAGCUAGUUGGUGAGGUAAAGGCUCACCAAGGCGACGAUCUGUAGCGGGUCUGAGAGGAUGAUCCGCCACACUGGAACUGAGACACGGUCCAGACUCCUACGGGAGGCAGCAGUGGGGAAUUUUGGACAAUGGGCGCAAGCCUGAUCCAGCCAUGCCGCGUGAGUGAAGAAGGCCUGGUGUAAG
Molecule: ribosomal RNA, 395 nt
Filed under: uncultured bacterium
Lineage: Bacteria
Description: bacterial SSU rRNA
Rfam family: Bacterial small subunit ribosomal RNA
Source: RNAcentral